UGACCGCUGGCGGCGUGCCUACUACAUGCACGUCGAGCGAACAGACGAGGAGCUUGCUCCUCUGACGUUAGCGGCGGACGGGUGAGUAACACGUGGAUAACCUACCUAUAAGACUGGGAUAACUUCGGGAAACCGGAGCUAAUACCGGAUAAUAUAUUGAACCGCAUGGUUCCAUAGUGAAAGACGGUUUUGCUGUCACUUAUAGAUGGAUCCGCGCCGCAUUAGCUAGUUGGUAAGGUAACGGCUUACCAAGGCAACGAUGCGUAGCCGACCUGAGAGGGUGAUCGGCCACACUGGAACUGAGACACGGUCCAGACUCCUACGGGAGGCAGCAGUAGGGAAUCUUCCGCAAUGGGCGAAAGCCUGACGGAGCAACGCCGCGUGAGUGAUGAAGGUCUUCGGAUCGUAAAACUCUGUUAUUAGGGAAGAACAAAUGUGUAAGUAACUAUGCACGUCUUGACGGUACCUAAUCAGAAAGCCACGGCUAACUACGUG
RNAcentral lists this ribosomal RNA (495 nucleotides) under uncultured bacterium. Its description in RNAcentral is "partial 16S ribosomal RNA". It matches the Rfam family "Bacterial small subunit ribosomal RNA", at positions 30 to 507 of the family's 1533-position model. The record is from RNAcentral.